This 73-nucleotide transfer RNA is filed under the name Mustela putorius furo (domestic ferret). It matches the Rfam family "tRNA". From Rfam's summary of the family: Transfer RNA (tRNA) molecules are approximately 80 nucleotides in length. Their secondary structure includes four short double-helical elements and three loops (D, anti-codon, and T loops). The record is from Rfam by way of RNAcentral. Lineage: Eukaryota; Metazoa; Chordata; Mammalia; Carnivora; Mustelidae.
ACCUGGUUGGCUCAAUUAGUAGAGCAUGUGACUCUUGGUCUCAGGGUUGUAGGUUCAAGUCCCACAUUAGAUG